AUACGGAGGAUCCGAGCGUUAUCCGGAUCUAUUGGGUUUAAAGGGCGCGCAGGCGGCCAUUUAAGUCAGCGGUUAAAUCGUGGGGCUCAACCCCAUUCUGCCGUUGAUACUGGGUGGCUUGAUUGCGGUCGAGGUUGGCGGAAUUCGUUGUGUAGCGGUGAAAUGCAUAGGUAUGACGAAGAACACCGAUUGCGUAGGCAGCUGACCAGAUCGCAAAUGACGCUCAUGCACGAAGUGCGGGGAUCGAACAGGAUUAGAUACCCUGGUAGUCCGCACAGUAAACGAUGAAUACUUGUUUUCGGCGAUAUAAUGUCGGAGGCAAAGCGAAAGCGAUAAGUAUUCCACCUGUGGAGUACGCCGGCAACGGUUAAACUCAAAUGAAUUGACGCGG
RNAcentral lists this ribosomal RNA (391 nucleotides) under uncultured bacterium. RNAcentral describes it as "partial 16S ribosomal RNA". It matches the Rfam family "Bacterial small subunit ribosomal RNA", at positions 523 to 918 of the family's 1533-position model. The record is from RNAcentral.